GAGUUUGAUUAUGGCUCAGAACGAACGCUGGCGGCGCGUCUUAAGCAUGCAAGUCGAACGGUAAGGGAGAGCUUGCUCUCCCCUACAGUGGCGGACUGGUGAGUAACGCGUAGGUGACCUACCCUGAAGAUGGGGAUAGCUAGUAGAAAUAUUAGAUAAUACCGAAUAAGCUCAUUUGCAUAAAGGCAGAUGAGGAAAGGAGCUACGGCUCCGCUUUAGGAUGGGCCUGCGUCCCAUUAGCUAAGUUGGUGAGGUAAAGGCUUACCAAGGCAACGAUGGGUAUCCGGCCUGAGAGGGUGAACGGACACAUUGGGACUGAGAUACGGCCCAAACUCCUACGGGAGGCAGCAGCUAAGAAUCUUCCGCAAUGGACGAAAGUCUGACGGAGCGACGCCGUGUGAAUGAAGUAGGCUGAAAAGUUGUAAAAUUCUUUUGCAGAUGAAGAAUAAGGAUAGGAGGGAAUGCCUAUCUGAUGACGGUAGUCAUGCGAAU
Molecule: ribosomal RNA, 492 nt
Filed under: Treponema sp. canine oral taxon 207
Lineage: Bacteria; Pseudomonadati; Spirochaetota; Spirochaetia; Treponematales; Treponemataceae
Description: bacterial SSU rRNA
Rfam family: Bacterial small subunit ribosomal RNA
Source: RNAcentral